This 107-nucleotide small RNA is filed under the name Marmota monax (woodchuck). Lineage: Eukaryota; Metazoa; Chordata; Mammalia; Rodentia; Sciuridae. The record is from RNAcentral.
GCCUGGCAUGGUGGUGUGUGCCUGUAAUUCCAGCUACUAAGGAGGCUGAGGCAGGUGGAUGGCAAGUUUGAGUCCAGCCUGGGCAAUGUAGCAAGACUUUGGCUCAA